GAUGAACGCUGGCGGCGUGCCUAAUACAUGCAAGUCGAGCGAACAGACGAGGAGCUUGCUCCUCUGAUGUUAGCGGCGGACGGGUGAGUAACACGUGGAUAACCUACCUAUAAGACUGGGAUAACUUCGGGAAACCGGAGCUAAUACCGGAUAACAUGUUGAACCGCAUGGUUCAACAGUGAAAGACGGUCUUGCUGUCACUUAUAGAUGGAUCCGCGCCGCAUUAGCUAGUUGGUAAGGUAACGGCUUACCAAGGCAACGAUGCGUAGCCGACCUGAGAGGGUGGUCGGCCACACUGGAACUGAGACACGGUCCAGACUCCUACGGGAGGCAGCAGUAGGGAAUCUUCCGCAAUGGGCGAAAGCCUGACGGAGCAACGCCGCGUGAGUGACGAAGGUCUUCGGAUCGUAAAACUCUGUUAUUAGGGAAGAACAAAUGUGUAAGUAACUAUGCACGUCUUGACGGUACCUAAUCAGAAAGCCACGGCUAACUACGUG
RNAcentral lists this ribosomal RNA (497 nucleotides) under uncultured bacterium. RNAcentral's name for it is "partial 16S ribosomal RNA". It matches the Rfam family "Bacterial small subunit ribosomal RNA", at positions 28 to 507 of the family's 1533-position model. The record is from RNAcentral.